GGGGAACUAACAUUUUUGUUUAUUUAGCUCUCUAAAGAGUUUAAUAUUUUGUGAUAUUUACAAAAAAAAAGUUUCGAUUCAGAGUGGAUUUUUAGAAAGUUCGGCAUUAAUAGACAUUUAAUACUCCAAAAUGCCUGUCUUAAAUAGUAAAUGGAUCGCCUAACAAUAUUUCCAGAAAUUAUUUUGAUCCCACUCCACCCCUGAGAAUUAUAUAUAUUUAUAUAAAUAUAACUAUAUUAAUUUAUUUAAUUUUCUAACGGACUUACUUUACUUUCAUAUAAUUUCAUA
Cinara cedri is the source of this 288-nucleotide non-coding RNA. Lineage: Eukaryota; Metazoa; Arthropoda; Insecta; Hemiptera; Aphididae. The record is from the annotation of a GenBank genome assembly.